This 759-nucleotide ribosomal RNA is filed under the name Triticum aestivum (bread wheat). Its description in RNAcentral is "partial small subunit ribosomal RNA". Lineage: Eukaryota; Viridiplantae; Streptophyta; Magnoliopsida; Poales; Poaceae. The record is from RNAcentral.
AUGAUUCCAGGACCUGGAAUCAUACCAGCCGAUGGGUGGUGGUUUGUCGCUCGUUCACCUGAUGGCGGUCAUUUGAUGCUCAUUCGCACCACGGGCCUCUUUUGUUGGAUAUUAUGUACUGUUGUUAGUUUGAAGCACUCCUCUGUACAUAUAACUGGAGUUAACCAAUGCAAGUCGAAGAAGGAUUGGCCGGUGCUGCCGGCUGGCGUCAAGUUCGAUCCCACGGAUCAGGAGCUGAUCGAGCACCUUGAGGCCAAAGUGAGUGCUGACAGCGCGAGAUCUCACCCUCUCAUCGAUUUGUUCAUACCAACCAUCGACAGCGAGCACGGCAUAUGCUACACCCAUCCUGAGAAACUUCCAGAUGUUAUGAAAAUGCCAACUACGUACACUAAAACCUGUAUUCGACUAUACUGCAGGCAUCACACUGAGUGGCCUAAGCAAGCAUUUCUUCCAGCGCAAUUCCAGGGCAUUCAAAAGGGGCACGUGGACGCGUCGCAAAUACAGUCCGAGUGCGGCAUGCACGCGAUGUGGCACAACACCGGCAAUACCUUGCCGGUGAUGGUCAACGGCCGGCAGACGGGCAGCAAAAAGGUUCUGGUGCUGCACACCAACAAGAACUUUGACCAGCAGAGGCCCAACUGGGUGAUGCACCAGUACCACCUCGGGGACUUGGAGCAAGAGAAGGAGCGAGAGCUGGUCCUCUGCAAGAUUUUCUACCAGACGAACACUAGGGACAGGAGUAAAAACAUUAUAAGUUAG